This 301-nucleotide ribosomal RNA is filed under the name uncultured bacterium. RNAcentral's name for it is "partial 16S ribosomal RNA". It matches the Rfam family "Bacterial small subunit ribosomal RNA", at positions 509 to 807 of the family's 1533-position model. The record is from RNAcentral.
CAGCCGCCGCGGUAAUACGAAGGGUGCAAGCGUUAAUCGGAAUUACUGGGCGUAAAGCGCACGCAGGCGGUCUGUCAAGUCAGAUGUGAAAUCCCCGGGCUUAACCUGGGAACUGCAUUUGAAACUGGCAGGCUAGAGUCUUGUAGAGGGGGGUAGAAUUCCAGGUGUAGCGGUGAAAUGCGUAGAGAUCUGGAGGAAUACCGGUGGCGAAGGCGGCCCCCUGGACAAGGACUGACGCUCAGGUGCGAAAGCGUGGGGAGCAAACAGGAUUAGAUACCCCUGUAGUCCCUGUCUCUUAUAC